Molecule: transfer RNA, 47 nt
Filed under: Orenia metallireducens
Lineage: Bacteria; Bacillati; Bacillota; Clostridia; Halanaerobiales; Halobacteroidaceae
Description: tRNA_Phe_GAA
Rfam family: tRNA
About the family: Transfer RNA (tRNA) molecules are approximately 80 nucleotides in length. Their secondary structure includes four short double-helical elements and three loops (D, anti-codon, and T loops).
Source: RNAcentral
GGCGAGAUAGCUCAGUCGGUAGAGCAGAGGAUUGAAAAUCCUCGUGU